GACGAACCGUCCAAACGUUAUUCGGAAUCACUGGGCUUAAAGGGCGCGUAGGCGGGCUGACGAGUCCGGGGUGAAAUCCUCCAGCUUAACUGGAGAACGGCCUCGGAUACUGUUGGUCUCGAGGAAGAUAGGGGCAUGCGGAACUGGUGGUGGAGCGGUGAAAUGCGUUGAUAUCACUAGGAACUCCGGUGGCGAAGGCGGCAUGCUGGAUCUUUUCUGACGCUGAGGCGCGAAAGCCAGGGGAGCGAACGGG
RNAcentral lists this ribosomal RNA (253 nucleotides) under uncultured bacterium. RNAcentral's name for it is "partial 16S ribosomal RNA". It matches the Rfam family "Bacterial small subunit ribosomal RNA", at positions 524 to 776 of the family's 1533-position model. The record is from RNAcentral.